RNAcentral lists this ribosomal RNA (414 nucleotides) under uncultured bacterium. RNAcentral's name for it is "bacterial SSU rRNA". It matches the Rfam family "Bacterial small subunit ribosomal RNA", at positions 361 to 775 of the family's 1533-position model. The record is from RNAcentral.
AUUUUGCACAAUGGGCGCAAGCCUGAUGCAGCGACGCCGCGUGAGGGAUGGAGGCCUUCGGGUUGUAAACCUCUUUCGCUCAUGGUCAAGCCGCAACUGUGGUUGUGGUGAGGGUAGUGGGUAAAGAAGCGCCGGCUAACUACGUGCCAGCAGCCGCGGUAAUACGUAGGGCGCGAGCGUUGUCCGGAAUUAUUGGGCGUAAAGGGCUUGUAGGCGGUUUGUCGCGUCUGCCGUGAAAUUCCCUGGCUUAACUGGGGGCGUGCGGUGGGUACGGGCAGGCUUGAGUGCGGUAGGGGAGACUGGAAUUCCUGGUGUAGCGGUGGAAUGCGCAGAUAUCAGGAGGAACACCGGUGGCGAAGGCGGGUCUCUGGGCCGUUACUGACGCUGAGGAGCGAAAGCAUGGGGAGCGAACAG